AGCAGCCACGGUAAUUCCAGCCCCAAUAGCGUAUAUUAAAGUUGCUGCAGUUAAAAAGCUCGUAGUUGAAUUUCGGGACCAUCAUGUCGGUCGUGCCUCGGUACGUACUGGCAUUGUUGGUUUCUUCCUUCUGACGAACCAUGAUGUCAUUUAUUUGGUGUCGUGGGAAAUCAGGACUGUUACUUUGAAAAAAUUAGAGUGUUUAAAGCAGGCUCACGCUUGAAUACAUUAGCAUGGAAUAAUGAAAUAGGAUGUUUGAUUCUAUUUUGUUGGUUUUUAGGAUCGACGUAAUGAUUAAUAGGGAUAGUUGGGGGCAUUAGUAUUCAAUUGUCAGAGGUGAAAUUCUUGGAUUUAUUGAAGACUAACUACUGCAAAAGCAUUUGCCAAGGAUGUUUUCAUUAAUCAAGAACGAAAGUUAGGGAUCGAAGACGAUCAGAUACCGUCGUAGUCUUAACCAUAAACUAUGCCGACUAGGAAUCAGAUGAUGUUAAUUUAAUGACUCA
This 503-nucleotide ribosomal RNA is filed under the name uncultured Glomus. RNAcentral's name for it is "SSU rRNA". It matches the Rfam family "Eukaryotic small subunit ribosomal RNA", at positions 569 to 1078 of the family's 1831-position model. The record is from RNAcentral. Lineage: Eukaryota; Fungi; Glomeromycota; Glomeromycetes; Glomerales; Glomeraceae.